AGUGAACGCUGGCGGUAGGCCUAACACAUGCAAGUCGAACGGCAGCACAGUAAGAGCUUGCUCUUACGGGUGGCGAGUGGCGGACGGGUGAGGAAUACAUCAGAAUCUACUUUUUCGUGGGGGAUAACGUAGGGAAACUUACGCUAAUACCGCAUACGACCUACGGGUGAAAGCAGGGGAUCUUCGGACCUUGCGCGAUUGAAUGAGCCGAUGUCGGAUUAGCUAGUUGGCGGGGUAAAGGCCCACCAAGGCGACGAUCCGUAGCUGGUCUGAGAGGAUGAUCAGCCACACUGGAACUGGGACACGGUCCAGACUCCUACGGGAGGCAGCAGUGGGGAAUAUUGGACAAUGGGCGCAAGCCUGAUCCAGCCAUACCGCGUGGGUGAAGAAGGCCUUCGGGUUGUAAAGCCCUUUUGUUGGGAAAGAAAAGCAGCAGGUUAAUACCCCGCUGUUCUGACGGUACCCAAAGAAUAAGCACCGGCUAACCUCGUG
RNAcentral lists this ribosomal RNA (492 nucleotides) under uncultured bacterium. RNAcentral's name for it is "partial 16S ribosomal RNA". It matches the Rfam family "Bacterial small subunit ribosomal RNA", at positions 29 to 507 of the family's 1533-position model. The record is from RNAcentral.